UUUGGCCUUUAUCGAAGCUACGUAUUUAUUCAGUUGGAUAUGCUAGUCAAAACAAGGCCAAUAUAAAAUGAUCCCUAUCGGUCGCGGCUUAGACGAAAAAUGUCUUCAUACGUAUCACCAAAGGGAUCUACAUAU
This is a small nucleolar RNA of Plutella xylostella (diamondback moth), 135 nucleotides long. NCBI's taxonomy places the organism in Eukaryota, Metazoa, Arthropoda, Insecta, Lepidoptera, Plutellidae. The record is from RefSeq and is a predicted model, not a curated record.